RNAcentral lists this long non-coding RNA (496 nucleotides) under Monodelphis domestica (gray short-tailed opossum). RNAcentral describes it as "lncRNA (ENSMODG00000048160.1)". The record is from RNAcentral. Lineage: Eukaryota; Metazoa; Chordata; Mammalia; Didelphimorphia; Didelphidae.
AUGGAGGAAUGGGACAGUGCUAGAAUUGGAAACAAGGGACCCUGUUUGCCUCAGUCAACUGAAUGGCCAUAUCAUAUUGGAUUUUCUCCUCUGAGAAAAGGAUGCCAAGGAAACAUCCAAGUUAAUUUCGAUAUGCUGGGAAAAUUAAACUGGACCCUUUCUUCCUAUGGUGUGUUGGAUUGGCCAGAAAGGAGGCAAGCUUCAGGUCAUUUUAGAAAUGCAGUGCCAGUAAGGAAGGAUAAAUGAGCUCUAAGGAAUGGGGGGGGGGGGGAGGCCCUCAUUAGAAUAUGUGGUGCUGUCAAUUUUAUAUCUGUAUAAAAAUUAGUCAAAUGCCAACAUGGAACUUAUGUAUUGUGAAAAUGGUUUGUUUUUGUGGUCAAAGUACAAACUGAACAAAUGUGCAAACUUUCAUGAGGUGGGGACUGUUUUGGUAGCAAAGCCCCACAACAAUAUUUGCAACCUUUCUCCCUCCCAACUCCUCUUCCUUCCUCCCCCC